RNAcentral lists this small RNA (76 nucleotides) under Camelimonas lactis. RNAcentral's name for it is "Makes More Granules Regulator RNA (mmgR)". It matches the Rfam family "Makes More Granules Regulator RNA (mmgR)". From Rfam's summary of the family: SuhB later renamed mmgR (makes more granules regulator) was a putative non-coding RNA found multiple times in the Agrobacterium tumefaciens genome and related alpha-proteobacteria. Lineage: Bacteria; Pseudomonadati; Pseudomonadota; Alphaproteobacteria; Hyphomicrobiales; Chelatococcaceae. The record is from Rfam by way of RNAcentral.
UGCUGCAGCCCUCCUUGGGCGUUUCCUCCCUAGACUUUAUGGCCGCGUCCCUGACGCGGCCUUUUUUUUGGCUUUU